Molecule: long non-coding RNA, 1559 nt
Organism: Cydia fagiglandana
Lineage: Eukaryota; Metazoa; Arthropoda; Insecta; Lepidoptera; Tortricidae
Exons: 2
Source: RefSeq, a predicted model, not a curated record
AAUAAAUUCGCAUUCUUAUGUACGAUACGAUGUAAUAAAUUCGCAUACGCAUUCUCUCUGAAACCACUGGUAGCUUAAAAAACGACAAUUCACCGGUUAAUGUUGAAUUUAAACAACCGUCCACUGUACAGUUAUAAUAACUUUUUGUUUUGUUUCUCCAUUAUUGCACAAAAAAGUUCACAGACGCGUGUCUCAAGCGGAUGGCACUCGCGCUCGCACUGGUCCCAACUGGUCCGAGAUAUCGUGUCCGUGAGCAGUGUCUAUGUGUGCGUUGCUUGAGCGCGCUUUGUAUGUAGAUUGAUUUCUGUACCUAUCUCUUUUGUGGCCCGACGGUGUGGAAGUGUAAUAAGCGCUUAUAAUGUACAUAACGUCAAGGAAUAGUUGACUCACCCAUUUUUUUAGUAGUUGUGACGUGGCUUCGCCAGUCUCCUUUGUGUCUUUUGAGAGUGUGUGGUACAUGUAUGGUAACGAAUAUUGUCAGCUAGAGGUCGGUUCUGUAACUUCCAACAACUUCUGUAAACAGGAUUGUCGUCCGUACAAACAUAGCUAACGUAAUGUUACAUUUUAAGUAAAAAUUAAGGAUGACUCACGCUAGACCGGGCGGGAUCCGAGCCGAGGCGUUCGACACGUCAUUUUCUAUGACGGCUGAUCGGUGUUCACGUGGUGCUUUCCAUAUAAAACGAAGCGCUGGUACUCCGGCUCGGUCUCAGCCCUGUCUCAUAGCGUGAGUCAUCCUUUAUGGUGAUCUCCUUAUUAGAAAUAUAAGGACUAAAUAUAUCCUGUCACAAGUGUAACAGGAUAAUUUCUGCUGAGAGGGACAGCUCUUGUUAGCAGAAAGUAUCCGGUAGCAGAAAAGGUAUAAUCGAGAUGAUUCCUCCGACGAUCUCACUCCUCACAUUUUUUUUAGACAGAAUAGCAUAAUAAAUAGCUAGUAUUUAUUUGUGACUAUAUCCUAGAGCCUCAGCGCCCGUUUUUGUACCCGUUUACUAUCUGUGAAUUAUGUAGAAUAUUGUAAAAUAUAGGUAGUAGGCAAUAUAAAUUGUGACUACCUGAUAGUUAUAUGUUUUUUUUUAUAAUCAGGCAGACCACUAAGCUUAUACUGUUUAACUUAGGUAUUUUUAGACACUCGCGCGACUUGUAGGUACCUAUACAAACACCACCACCAGACCAGUACAAACGGCAAAUAUCAAUUUACGCUUUUCCUACUGACAUAUUGGUUUGCCACUUACAAUUAUAAUGUACCUACCUGAAAUAUGCUUACAGUAUCGAUUGCAAUGUAUUAUUAGUUACUGCAAUAAAGAAUUUGUAUUUCCAGUUCGAUUGUCAAAGGCUCCAUUAGUAAGUACCUAGGUGAUCAUAGGUCCUAGAUCCGGAUCAUCCGGGGGCUUACGAGAACUUGCUUACUCGUCGAGAUAUGACGAGUAUAUUGUAUUUUAAAUUGUUAAAAGAUUUUUAUAGUACUUUUUGUUGUGUUGCUGUAACUUUGUUAGUGGAUUUGUUUAAAAUUACUGUUAAAUGUUAUAAAAUUUGGUAAAUAAAGUAAUUUAACCAUUUUAAAA